AUUGAACGCUGGCGGCAUGCCUUACACAUGCAGUCUAAGUGGCGCACGGGUGAGUAAUAUAUAGGUAAUAUGCCUCUUACUAAGGGAUAACAGAUGGAAACGUCUGCUAAUACCUUAUAUGCCUUUAGGACUAAAGUCCGCAAGGGAAAGAUUUAUCGGUAAGAGAUUAGCCUGUACAGUAUCAGUUAGUUGGUGAGGUAAUGGCUCACCAAGACUAUGACACUUAACUGGUUUGAGAGGAUGAUCAGUCACACUGGAACUGAGACACGGUCCAGACUCCUACGGGAGGCAGCAGUGGGGAAUAUUGCACAAUGGACGGAAGUCUGAUGCAGCAACGCCGCGUGGAGGAUGACACAUUUCGGUGCGUAAACUCCUUUUAUAUGAGAAGAUAAUGACGGUAUCAUAUGAAUAAGCACCGGCUAACUCCGUG
Molecule: ribosomal RNA, 430 nt
Filed under: uncultured bacterium
Lineage: Bacteria
Description: bacterial SSU rRNA
Rfam family: Bacterial small subunit ribosomal RNA
Source: RNAcentral